UACACAAUGGUCGCCUAAGCACACAUGCGCGCGGCCGAAAUCGCUCCCGCCCACUAUUUGGGAUGCCUGGGAUUACCAUCCUACCCCCGACCCGUAGUAGGUCCGAAAUUUAAGAGGGGGGCAAAGUUUGUACUUUCCCCAAAUUUCAAACAAGCGCGUCCCAUCUUCUGUUCAAAAAAGCCAAAAACAAGUGCAUCCCAGACUGAAACAUGGUUCCCCCCACCCGUCCGAUUCCACAUUCGUACUCCGUAGGCGCCAAAACUACCUCUCCACCAGCCGCGAAACCCCGGCGUCCUCUGUCCGCCACCCCAUCCCACCCAUCAACUGCCGCCCUCCUCCAUCACGCCGGAGCCGAUACCCCGACAUCGUCGUCCACCGCAACCUCAACCGCAACGCCCUCCACGAUUAGUAGCUGAAGCCGAGGCCGAGCCGUCCGUACCCAAGCCAGUUCAACCACGCCGUCCUGCGCCUCACCGCUGCCGCUCCAACUUCGCCACCCUCCACCGCACAGGAGCUGUUCCUGCUACGUCGUCCUUCGUCGCCUCGGAUCUGCUUCCCCUCCACCGACAUACGGCCACGGCAACACAGUCAACAAUUUGGCCAUGGGUUCGUCCAAGCCUGCACCCUCCAGAACAUUGGUUUCCCCGGUAAAAAGAAGAAGAUCGGCGCGACAUGUGGAGGUGACCACGCCAGCAACCGAAAAAGGUACUCCUCUUCCCUUAUUCGUGCAAAUCUUACGUCUCUGCUUGCACGGUAUUCAUCCCACAGAAGACACUAGUUGACCGCUUCUUCUUGAUACUAGAUGUUCCUAGUAACUCGCGAUGCACAAGUUUUCUCCUCAUAUACUAUUUCACCUUAGCUAGAGGUUCGUCGCCCCCCUGAAUUUCAAUUUCUGGCCAGUUGAUUCCCAAUUAACGGAAGCAUUCCCCGGUGUAACAUGCGCUAGUACGCCUAUUACGCCGGGGAAGCAGCGCCAUGGUGUUUAUCUUAGGGGCGUGUGCGGCCUAGAGCUACUGGCACCCGGUCUGGAGGUCGGACGGGAUUAAAGGGAUGGCCUGGGGGCGCUGCCAAGCACGGCGGUGGUGUGAGGUCGAUGGGAGGGCGGGGCGGCGGAGGCAGGGGUCUGGGCCGGUGGUCGCUGGCGGUUCGAGAAAGAUCGUCAACAGUGACUGGCGGGAGGUAGACGAAGGCCAUCUGCCCGUUCCUUAUAGAUCGGACGGUUCAUUAAAAAAAUUGACUGACCUAUUUAUUUUCAGUCGACUGUUAUCUUAGAUAUGACCACAUGUGGUGUUGUGCUGGAGGAGUACCUACAUUUCCUGUGCUCAUAUAUUACAAAAUCAUAUGGAGUAGAAUCUAAUUUUGUUUGCCAUGCAAUGUUGUAGAGCUAUCAUAUGUCUCUUGUCAUUUAUUUUCAGCCACCUGCUAUCUGCUACUUUUACAGUGCACUAGUUCUGCACACACUUCACCCUUACUCUCACUGUUAUGUUUUUAUGCAAGUGUAUUUCAGACUCUGCUGGCAUGAGAGAAGCCAAAAAGAAAAGAGAGAAGUCGCUCCAGCUUCGUAUGCGGGUAGGCAAGACACGUUACAGCGCUAUAAAGGGUGCAGUGUCAGCAGAUGGAGACAAUAAACAUAGCUCUGGAGUUGAUGACCUCGCUUGCAAUGAACCACCAUCCCAGGUGCUUGCUUUAACUUCGCGCUGUCAUAUGUGGUUGCAUGUUCCAUAUGGUGUCUAGCUUGUAUUCGAAAGGCUGAAGUCGGUAAGAUAAGGAAAGAUAUUUUUUUACAUGAACCACCAUCCCGUGAGCACCAGAAGACAAAUAGCUAGUCAGGGCACUGGCCGAGCCAGUGACAAGCCCAGCAAAGAUAGGCAUCACCUGGAAGCCAACUAAAAAGCUGCGAUGGUGGCGAAGCAGCCCACCUCCCACCAGGCUCUCAAGUCCUAGAUGAUCAUGCUCACCACUCCAGCCGGAUGUCUAGCUUGUAUUGCUUCCAAUUUGGUUAAAUUGCAUCUGCUUAGCUUACACAUUAUACCUUUGAAUAUGACAUGUCUUUCUGUUUUUGGUACAUACUAGUACAUCUGUGUAUUAACCAUGUUUUUACAUCAAACUAAUGUUCUUGUGUAUCCCUCAUCAAUCACUUAUGAUGAGGCAGGCAGGCAAGGGGACUACUCCUCAUUUAAAGAAUGCAGCAUCGGCCUCCCGACAUGAUUCUCAAGAAACGGAAAUACUAGAUGAAGAUAGUGAACGUAGCUCUGUAGUUGAUUACAGCAUUUCCCCUACACUAGCAUCGCAGGUGCUUUCUCUAACUUGGCAGCGUGAUAUGUGGUUGCAUGUUGCAUAUGGUGUCUAGAUUGUAAUUCUUCCAAUCUGGUUAAACUGCAUGUGCUAGUCUGCUUAGCUUAUACAUUAUACCUGUUAAUGCAACAUGCCUUCCUGUAUUUAGUACAUAGUACAUCUCUCUAUUAAGCAUGUCCUUACAUAAAACUAUUGUUUUUUUGUAUCCCGCAUCAAUCAACAUGACGAGACACCUUUAGUAUAUGCAGUGCGAUAUUAGUUGCAUCUUUCAUAUGAUUUAUAGCAUGCGCUGCUUCUAAUUUGUUGAAAUUCCAUUUAUGAUGGGACGCUUUUAACUUGGCAGAGUCAUAUUGGUUGCAUCUUUCAUGUGGUGUCUAGCUUGCAUUGCUUCUUAUUUGCUGGAAUGGUUUCUGCUUAGUUUACACAAACAGUUGUGAACAUGCCAUGCUGUCCUGUUUUUCGUACAUAUUCCAUCCUGGUAUCAUGUGUUUGCCUUACAUCAAAGUAGUGGUUGUCAGUAUCAUGCAUGAAUGAGUUCUGAAGAGAGAAUUUUAUUGCUUUUUCUUGUCGGUUUUACUUGACAAUUCAAAAUCAAUAAAGCGGAAGGAAGUUAGCAAGGCAGCGGAUAAAGGUGCUCCUUCCGAACGGAGGGCCUCUACAGUUUCUACUCCUCCACACCCCCAAGAUGAUUUCCAAGACAACACAUGCAUAGACACUCAACAAAGUUGUGUUUAUGAUGAGCAUGUCUCCCCUAGUGCAGCAUCACCGGUGCUCCCUCUAACUUGGCACUGUUAUAUGUGGUUGCAUGUUAUGUGUGAUGUCUAGCUUGUAUUGCUUCUAAUUUUGUUGAAUUCCAUCUGCUUACUUUACACAUUAUACUUGAAUAAGACACGUGUUCCUGUUUCUAGAACAUACAAUAUUUGUCUAUCACACCAUGUUCUUACAUCAAAUUACUACUGUUGUGUAACCUGCAACAAUCACUUAUCAUAAGACACGUUUGACUUCGGAGUGUGAUAUAGGUUACAUCUCACAUUCUUUUCUAGCUUGUACUACUAAUUUUUUGAAAUGGCACUUAUGACGAGACAAUUUUAACUUGGUAGAGUGAUAUUUGUUGCAUCUUUCAUAUGGUGUCUAGCUUUCAUUGCUUCUAAUUUGUUGAAAUGCCUUCUCCUUAGUUUACACAUCAUAAGCUGUGAAUAUGCAAUGUUGUGAAUAUGCAAUGGCACUAAUGACGAGAGACCUCUAACAUGGUAGUGUGAUGUUGUUUGCAUCUUGCAUAUGAUUUAUUUCUUGUACUGCUUCACAUUUGUUUAAACGCCAUUUAUGAUGAGACACUGUUAACUUGGCAGAGCGAUAUUUGUAGCAUCUUUCAUAUGGUGUCUACCUUCCAUUGCAUUGCUUCUAAUUUGGUGAAAUGUCUUCUUCUUAGUUUACACAUCAUAGUUCUGGUUAUCUCUUCCGUCCUGUUUUUCAUACACAUUACAUCCUCCUAUCAUGUGGUUGUCUAACAUCAAAGUUUAGUUCGUCUGCAUCACGCAUCAAUUUGUUCUGAAGAACUAAAUUGUUAUUCAUUUUUCUUGUCGGCUUGACUUAACAUGGCACACAGAAAGAGGAAGAAACACGGAAUGGCAGGGAAUGAGAAGUGGAUGAAUCCUGCAGAUUCUGUUGGUACUGAUGGUGCAAUAGAAGGUCAAAGUCCAGCGGAAAAUUCUACAAACACGGCAUCCCAUGCUACACGAGUUGCAAAAAAAGCCAAACAGAAACAAAUAGCUACCACCAAACAAGUAGAGACAGCCCUAGUUCUUGCAACACCUACCAUAGUACUACCAGCUGCACGACUUACUCGUGCGUCAACUGAGCUAGCAGCACGUUCCCAAGCUCCCUUGCCACCUGACACUACUUCCCAAGCACUCUUGACACAAGACGAGUUGGCAAUAUCAGAUGAACCUUGUGAGCUUCAACAACAAGAAGGUAGUUGCUGGAGUCAAGUGACAGUUGCAUGCUUCUUUAUAUGUAGUCUCACAGUUUGAUGUACACUAACACUUCCUAUGUUCGUUGUUGAACUAGCACCUAGGCGCAAGAGGAAACAAACAUCAGGGAUAAUACUCGAUAGGUUAACUAAAUCUAGAGGAGGAAGAAUGGAGAUCCGUUUUGAGGCAGGUUUAAAAAGGCCACGUGAUGCUACAGAGUUAGCCAAGUUAGUAUCAGAGGCAGCGGUUGCCAUUAGGUGUCAUGUACGUAUCCUCCCAACAUGGAUUCAGUACAGGAAUGACAAAGACGAAACCCAGUUCAACACCUUCCUCGACCAUUUAUCUGUAAGUAUGGUUAUGUAUGGAAACUAGUAAUAUCGUCUUGCUCUGUCCCAUAAUUUUAGGUUGCUGAUAAUGAGACUCUCAUAAUUUUCAACAGAUGAGGUUCAAGUUGGAUGGCCAAGAUGAUGCAACCAGACAAGCUUGCACCCAUGUUUUCAAGUCUGCUCUGCGACAGUAUCGGUAUAACUUGAGGAAAACUCACUUUGAAGGCAAGGCUAACAGUGAACUUUCCCAAACAUCUCUAGUGGAAAAUAUAUCGGAUGAAGACUGGAGGGGCCUUGUUAAACACUGGUCUGAUCUGAAGUAUCAGGUACAUUAUAUAUAUGUGAUCAGAUCACAUGUUGAAGUCCUAUUUAUGCAUGUGCCACACAAAUCUAUCUUCUUGUAGGUGAACUGUUCAAAGAACAAGGCCAACCGUACGAAAGUGAAAUUCCAACAGACGACAGGAUCUCGUAGUUAUAUUGCACACUGUGAGGCUCUUGUAAUUAGCUGAUGUUUCACUCUUUUCGCUGUACCAUAUUAUCAGAUCUAUAUUGACUUGUUCAAAAUGCAGAGGAAAGCCCGCAAGGACCAAAAAGUACCUGAACCAAAUGUUGUGGAAAUCUUCAAGGACUGUCACACCAGCAAGAAGAAGGGCAUGACUACACCAGUAAAAGUCGCUGGUGUAAGUCCUUAAUCCUCAUGCCUUUUAACUACUACUUACUCUGACUUGUGCCUUGAACUGCAUGGUUUGCAGCCAAUGUCUAUUACUCUUUUAAAUUUUAUACACAAUUAUCUUAGUGUAUCAUUGCACCUUACAAGGUUUAAAAGAGAGGAGUGAUGUUCCUUUGAUCUUGACCCGUGAUCUAGUCCCGUGCUGGACUUGCCCACACAACAUUACAAUUGCCUGUUUGUCUGUUCUCAGUUGUUUUGUGAUAUGAAUGAUGUCAUACUAUGCUUACCGUAUUAUAAACUUCGUCUCUUUAUCCUUAGCCCUCAAUACAAUGUGAAGAAGUAGACAAUACAUUAGCGAUGGUACAUGGUCAUAUGUUUGGAACCUGGUUUUAUUAUGUACUUUGCAAUAAAAUACAACUAAUAUUUUACAUGGGUUCACCAGAAUAAGUUCUGUAUAUAGACCAAAGCUAUUUUGUAUGGUUUUGCUGCCUCCUUAAUAUCUUCUGUUCUGGUACUACUAAUGUAAAACCUCAACUUUUCAGCAAGCUAUGAAAAAAAUGGCGAGGCAACUAUAACCGCAAUGUCAGCUCUUGCUGCAAUGGGUCAGUACCUGUCCACUAACAAUGCCAAAAGCACGUUCCUGCGUAAUACUGGGUUGGUUGUUAAGGCAAUAUCGUCCAAACUGCAUCAUGAUCAAGAUAUGCAAGCUUAAAGCAAAUGGUGUAUCUGUGCUCCAGACACAAUUCCAUUCCCUAACAGAGACCCUUUGUGAAACAAGGAGAAACAUUGCUCAACGUCGUCAAGAUAUGCAUGGUUUUGAAACCUGACUAUCAGACAUUUGCUAUGUUGUUCAGAAGCCUAGGGGACAUGAAGGCGAGGGUUAUGGUGCUCCAUCAGACAAUACAGCAUGAAAACGUAACAGUCGGGUCAAAUGAACUGAGCUUCUGAACUUCUGGUGGUGCAUUUAUCUGCUAGACUGUUAAGUUUUAUGUCAACCUUCCUUUUGUUAUAUAGUUGUAAUUUGUUUUGGUGCGAUACAAAAUUUAUUCUUAACGUGCAGCCACCAGCUGAAGAAAACAGCAAGCCAUUUUUGUAUAGUGUAGGGUGCUCUCUAUAUUUGCACUGGUGGCGAUCUUUGAUGUCGAGUGGAUGUAGUCUGCGCAAUCGCCUUAAUAGCCUAGCGUUAGUUUCGGCCUUAUUUAUUUCCUAGUCUUCUUUUUCCCUGGUUUGCUAGUGGCCGCAACUACCAUGGGCCAUAUACGGGCCGUAGGAUCCAUGGGUCUCCUACGGGCCGUCGAUAAAUGGGCAUGUAAUCGGUGGGCCUCGGGCCGUCGGAUAAAUGGGUCUACAUGGGCCGUAAUCAGGCGUAAUUGGUAUCGGCCCAGCAUGGUAACAGGCCGUUAACAGGCCGUAUGACAACAAAGGCUUAAUUCUGUCACAGGCAUAAUGGGUCGUUAAUGGGCCAGAAUAUAGGACGGGCUGGAAACGGCGCAACGGGUUAACAGGCCAAAAACGGACCGACUCUUGCCAUGGGCCGAAUUUGGCCCAUUAGGGUAACAGGCCAGUAACGAGCCGACUCUUGCCAUGGGCCGAAUUUGGCCCAUUAAGGGAACAGGCCAGUAACGGGCCGACUCUUGCCAUGGGCCGAAUUUGGCCCAUUAGGGGAACAGGCCAGUAACGGGCCGGAAGUAAUCGAGGGCCGAAAAGGAGCCCAAGAACGUAUGGGCCGUCAAUAGGCCUAAAGCUAACACAGGCUGGAAAUGGCCCAUGUAAAUCACGGGCCGUAAACGGGUAUAAAGAAAAUUACUGUUCAUUAUGGGCUAGAGUCACCGUGGGCCUGUAAAAGGCCGAAAGAUACGAAGGCCUCAUAUGGGCCAAAGGACGUCGUGGGCCAUACAUGGGCCGAAAGUGAAAUGGGCUGGUGUUAUAUUCGACGGCCCACAUGACAUUGUUGGGCCGAUUUCCUUUAGGGCCUAAUGGGUCGUGACUUAACGGGCCGUAAAAUGGGCUAUUUGCAAAGAGACCGUUAACAGGCUUUUCAUGGGCCAGCCCGUUAACUUUUGACCAAGUCAAACGGCUGGCUUUGUAAGCUAAAUGGGCCAGUGGUGGGUCGUGGCACGUGUAGACAUAUCAUAGGCGCCUAUCUGACCCACUGACGAGCUGACACGUGUUGCGUCCGGCCAAUAAGAAUUUUACACGUGGAAAUUUCCCAUUGGUCGGGGCUGUUAACGGGUUAUCAGAUCCAAAACCCGACCCGAUAGCUUAACGGUGUUCCGUUACGGUGGAUGCCACGUGUCGGUCACCCUUGACGAAAGCACUUCUGUGAUACGCGAUUUAUCGUCAUGGAAGUGGACACUUCCGUGAUGAUAAUUUUGGUAAUGUCAUGGAACACUUCUACGACAGCACAGGUAUGACUCUCUUGAUUCUGUCAUAAAAUCGUCAUGGAUGUACAUGCAUGAAAAAAAAUGCAACCUACAGUGACAAACACGUAUCAUCAUGGAAGUGUAUUUUUUGUAGUGGAUGAUACGGCGGUCAAUGCCGGAUUCAGUGGCUCUAAGUCCGGUCAGUGGAAGAAGCCGUUCAAAAAGAACAAUUCGGGCUCAUACAGCUUGGACCGCAUACUCGAUCGUCCGUGUCAGAUCCAUGGCACCCCAGACAAACUACCCAAUCAUACCAACAAAGAUUGUUGGGUUUUCAAACAAGCCGACAAGUUAAAUGCCGAAAGCAAGGAGAAGGGAUCGCAAAGCGAGGACGAUGACGAGGAGUCCGGACCACCGGACAUAGGGGGACAGAAGAAGUUUCCCCCUCAGGUCAAAAUGGUAAACAUGAUAUAUGCUACCCACAUCCCCAAGAGGGAGCGCAAGCGCGCGCUCAGGGACGUCUAUGCGAUAGAGCCAGUCACCCUAAAAUUUAAUCCAUGGUCGUCAUACCCGAUCACUUUCGAUCGUCGGGAUCAUCCGACCAGUAUCCGUCACGGUGGUUCAGACUCACUGGUCCUGGACCCAAUAAUUGAUGGGUUCCACCUGACAAGAGUCCUGAUGGACGGUGGCAGCAGCCUCAACCUGCUCUAUCAGGACAUAGUGCGCAAAAUGGGCAUUAAUCCAUCACGGAUCAAGCCCACAAAGACCACCUUUAAAGGAGGCAUACCAGGUGUAGAGGCCCGUUGUACGAUCUCAAUCACACUAGAGGUUAUCUUCGGAUCUCCGGACAACUUCCGAAGUGAGGAGUUAAUCUUCGAUAUCGUCCCCUUUCGCAGCGGCUAUCACGCACUGCUCGGACGAACCGCAUUUGCUCGAUUCAACGCGGUUCCACACUACGCUUAUCUCAAGCUCAAGAUUCCCAGACCAUGCGGUGUCAUAACGGUUAAUGGAAACAUGGAACACUCCCUCCGCACCGAGGAGCACACCGCGACCUUAGCAGCAAAAAUACAGAGCAGCCUUUCCAAGCAGAACCUUAAUUCGACGGUCGAGCUCCCGGACACUGUUAAGAGAGUCCAGACUAUUCUGCGGCAGGACAGCUCGGUUCGUCAAGAGCUUGACUAGCAAUUCGGCCUUCGUCCUAGUCCCGACCAAGUGGCGGCAAUUGUACCAUGCAUACAUAACUACGCACUCAAAAUACCAUGGGCACGGAUGGAGGCAUAACUAGCUUGUGAUCCACAAUACGGCUCGACCGCCCCUGGACACACAUACUUUCACGGUUUCCAUUUUUCCUCCUUUUUCAGGUUUCUUCUUCACAGGCCUUCCCUGACGGCUAGACCAUCGAUUCUUUUCAAAGGAUAAAUACACCAAGACGACAAGAAGCAUGGACGUACUGGGGAAUUUUUUAGGUGGUUUCUUUAACGAUCCCUUUACCUGUUUUCAGGACCCACACGCAGCUUUCCCUUGGUUAAGGCAUAUCAAAUAGCCUUCUGCUUAUUGCACUACUUGUAUAAAUGCGCUUUAACGCACCAAGGAAAUUAUAAUGGAAACAGUUUGCGGCCCAAAUUUUAUGGCUCUAGCUUACUACCUUUUCUUAUUUUUCUUUUUUUGAUAACUUUAUCAAAUAGCAUCUGUACACUUUGGUACAUUUCAAAUUGCCAGGGGCUUCAUCGCGCCCCACAACAUGGCAACAAAGUCCGAACACUUUUUACAGUAUAGUUCGGCACCCCGAAUUUAGCACUAUAUGCAUUGGCUCUCAAUCAUGUCUUUGGUCAAUAAUUGGGUUGCCCGGCUCCAGUGCUUGCUACCUUACGUUCCGCUAUAUCGGCUAGGGUAGUAAAGGGAGAACUACUGUGAUUGUGCCCUGGUUUACCCGGAUGAGCACCUCAGUAAAGAAAGCCGAAAACUGACUGUCAUGAUGUGGCGAGAGCCGGUCAGCUCUUUGGAGGUCUCAAAUCCUUAAAGAUUUUUUCUGCAUUACGCGAGGGAUCGGUAUUUACCCGAUCAGGUGUUUACAGCACCCUAGUCCGGAUACUAGGGGCUCCGCCUAUAUUUUUAUUGUCAAACUCCAACGGCUAAGUGAGGGUGCUAAAUCCGCAUAGUCCGAUUACCUGGUUCGUCGCGCUAAACACCUCCUUCAAGGACCAAACAAUUGGAUCAAAAGUGUUUAGAUUACAUCCCGAACACCCCCGUACUACCUACGUGGGGGCUGAAGCCGACGACUGGCCAACUCUCAGAUUUCACACAACACAACCGAACAAGAGGUGAAAUUUUUUUAACAAACAUUAUAUUACAUAAUGACUUUGUUUCAUCAUACAAGGCAAAGACAACAUGAAUGCAUUCAUUCGAAAAUAAUGUCUUGCACACAUUGCGUUGCCACAAUACGAGACCCCUCCAGGACGUCUUCAAAGUACCACUCGGGUGCGCGGUGCUCCUUGCCCUUUGGCAGUCCCCCGGUCGUCAGCUUGAUGGCGUCCAUCUUUGCCCACCACACCUUGACGCGGGCGAAGGCCAUGCGUGCGCCCUCGAUGCAGACCGACUGCUUGACAACGUCCAGCCGAGGGCAGGCAUUCACCAGCCGCUUCAUGAGCCUGAAGUAGCUGUCGGGCAUAGCUUCGGCAGGCCACAGCCGGAUUAUUAAAUCCUUCAUGGCCAGUUCGGCCACCCUAUGCAGCUCGACCGACUGUUUUAGCUGAUCAUUGAAGGGCACUGGAUGUUCUGGCGCAAGAUAUUGCGACCAGAACAGUUUCUCCGUAGUCUCCCUUCUUCGGCUCAGAAGAACUCCGCAGUGUCAGACACACUACGUGGUAGAUCCGCAAACGCCCCUAGAGAACUCCGAAUCCGGGUUAGUAAGAGAUAGUUCUUCUUCACAUAUUUGCUUUGCAUACUAAACGCCUUACCCGUCGUGAUUUUCUUGGCCUCCUAGAUCUCCUGGAGGGUGCCCCGGGCCUCAAUCCGGGCCUCUUCCGCGCUUUGACGGGCCAUAGCAAGUUCGGUCUCUCGAGCCGAAACGUCACGCUCCAAGGAUACGCAUUUCUUCACCGCAUCCUGGAGCUCUUGCUGGACCUCAUCCAGCCGGGCCUCGUGCUUCUCACAGGCGGCUUUUUCCUUGGCCGCUUUCUCCUUGGCCUGGGCCAGGGCCUGUCUAAGGACCUCGACCUCGAUCGCUACUCCUACACAUAUCAUGGCACUACGGUCAAUACGCAUUAUUUAUUCUUCCCGAAUAUACAGCCAGUCAGUACAUCCCUUGCUGGUCUUCUAGUUGCUUCCUCGCUUGGCCGAGCUCCUCCUCGGCCCGCUCCAGUCUCUACUUUAGUCCGGAGACUUCGGCAGUGUGUGAGGUCACGGCCAGCAAAGACGCCUGCUUAUUCAUAUAAGCCAUAUUUUAGUUAGUUUCCUGCGAAAAUAAAUUGAUCCUCUGUCCGGCUCUUCUUUCUAAACACUGGACAGUGUCUCACGGGCUAUUGUCUAUAUUGGGAUUUUCUCUUUUUUUUGCGUCGCUUACCUCAAAGCCUGUCAGGAGGCUACCGCAGGCUUCGGUCAGUCUGCUUUUGACGGACUGGACCUUCUCAAUCACCGUACCCAUAAGGAUAUGGUGUUCAUCCACAAUGGAAGUGCCUCGUAGCACUUCCAGCAGAUUAUCCGGUGCCUCUGGUUGGAUAGAGGUCAUCGGUGGAAUAGGCAUGCCCCCUUCUUUCGAAGGAGGUUGCUCGCCAAAUUCCGGAGCCAUAUAGGUCUCCUGACUUGUAUUCGGCUGGGCGCCGAAUUGAGCAAAGCCCUCGUCCCCGGUCGCCAUGGGGGUCUGCUCCCCCAUGUGUCCGGCAGCCGAGGUUUCGGCCUCUGGCGCCACCAGGCGGCCUCCUGAACCUCUCCUUGGCCUGGGAAGGUCCUUUGGGACAACACCUCGCCGUCACCCUUGGCCGUGGGAGAGUGACCGGCCGGCGGUGACUCGCUGGCCAUCACCUUCAAAUCCAGCGAACCUCUUGAUGAGGAUCGCUGGGAGCCGUCGUGGGCCGGACUAAAAUAACAUCAUUUAAACAUAUCAAUAUCAUGAAGCAAGAGAGGCCGGAUGUAGGGACGUGCGCGGAUUCUUAGUGCUUACGACGCAGCCAGGGGCUUGUUUCAGGGGUGUCGCUCCGGGCUACUGUCGACAUCGCAUGCGGUGUUAUCCACAAGGGGACCCUUCCCCCUCUUGAGCGCCUCUGCCUCCAGAUUGGUGGAGGCCGCCCACCCUCUUCUUCCUCCCCUCCCCCCCCCCCUCGUCAGGGGGAGAGGUGCUUUCCUCCUCCUCCUUAUCGUCUUCGGCAGCGAAGGAGUGAGUCUUGUCUUCAGAUGAUACGUCCGAAGCUCCCUUGCGGCGGGGGCCACUCCGGACCCCCUUGGCCUUAUUUUUGGCCUUCUUCUCCAGCACCUUAUAGGGCGCCGGUACCAGCAUCUUCGCUAGGAGCGGGAUGACUGGUUCCUCAGGCAGCGGAGCCGAACAUCGAAUCUGCUCCGCUCUCUUCGUCCAUACUUGAAAUAAUAAAGUUUAGAUAUCUUCCUUGAAACAAGCAAGUAGAGGAUGCGUCUAGAGACGUUAAAGGCUUACCUCGUUGGCAGAAUGGGUAAUGUCGUGCCCACGGUCCGAGUCUAUGGCUGGCGGUGUCUCGUUACCCUUAAAGAGCAACUUCCAUGCAUCUUUGUGAGUGGUUCCGAAGAGCCUUUCCAAGGUUUGGUGCUUCUUCGGGUCGAAUUCCCAUAAGGGGCAGCUUCGGCUUUGGCAUGGGAGAAUCCGGUGAACCAGCAUCACCUGGGUUACAUCGACGAGCUUGAUGUUUUUAUCCACCAUGCUUUGAAUGCGUGUUUGCAGCGCUAUCAGCUCGUCUGACAAAGAUCAAUUUGGGAUGUUCCCCAUCCAGGAGGUGAGCCGCACUAGAGCUCCGGACUUGAAUUCGGAAGCGACGACCCAAUUGGCGCUGCGGGGCUCUGUGAUAUAGAACCAUAGUUUCUGGCACUCCUUGACAUCUCCACAAAAGUGCCCUUGGGCCACGUGACAUUGGGCAGCUUCCUCACCAUGGCGCCUCCGCACUCCGCGUGCUGGCCAUCCACCACCUUCGGCUUCACGUUGAAAAUCUUGAGCCAUAGUCCGAAGUGGGGUUGGAUGCGGAGGAAGGCCUCGCACACGACAAUGAAUGCCGAGAUGUUAAGGAAGGAGUUCGGGGCUAGAUCAUGGAAGUCUAGCCCAUAAUAGAACAUAAGCCCGCGGACGAAAGGGUGGAGAGGAAACCCUAACCCGCAGACGAAAUGCGGGAUGAAGACCACCCUCUCGUUGGGCUUCGGGGUGGGGACGACUUGUCCCUUGGCUGGAAGCCGGUGGGCGAUUUCUUUCACCAGAUACCCGGCCUCCCGAAGCUUGGUGAUGUCCUUCUCCCUAACGGAGGAGGCCAUCCACUUGCCUUGCCCUCCAGAUCCGGACAUGGUUGAGUGCUUCCUAGGGGCGGAAAGAAUGAGGACUUGGGCGCUGGAGCUCGAGGAUGGAAGGGCAGAGGAAGAGAGAAGGCGUGGGUGAAGAAAGGGGAAUCCUUAUCUCCUUAUAAAGGCAGUGAAUAUCAAGCGCCUCCCCACUCGCCUUAAAACUCGCCUGUUCCCAAGGGCUGUGUAAACGGCACGGUUAUAUUACCCACGCCCGUAUUGAUGAGAAUCCCGCAAUAAGGGGACACGAUCUCUGCUUCGACAAGACGUGCCUAUUAAAACCACGUCUCGAAACAUGGAACAGCAGACGAAACACAGUUUGAAAUGAUGACCAAGCAGAUGUGAUGUCACAUUACAAAAAGUUGCCAGCGGAUUGGACUCGUGUAAUAUUAUAUUCUCUGCGGUUAUGUGUGGUACUUGUGUUGCAAAUCCGGACACGUUCAUUAUGACCGAAGACUAUCUUGGAGUAUUCAGAAAGGGGGACCCACCUUGCAAUGCUGAAGACAAUCUGCGCGCCGGACACCUCGUCAUUGAAGCCUGGUCCAGGGGCUACUAAGGGAGUCCUGGACUAAGGGGUCCUCGGGCGUCCGGCCUAUUAGACAUGGGCCGUACUGAUGGACUGUGAAGAUACGAAGAACGAAGACUCUACCUGUGUCCGGAUGGGACUCUUCUUGGCGUGGAAGGCAAGCUUGGCGUCCAAAUAUGAAGAUUCCUUUAUUUGUAACCGACCUUAUGCAACCCUAGAUUCCUCCGGUGUCUAUAUAAACCGGAGGGCUAGGUCCGUAGAUAUAUCCUCAUAAUCAUAGUCAGACAGGCUAGACUUUUAGGGUUUAGCCAUUGCGAUCUCGUGGUAGAUCAACUCUUGUAAUACUCAUAAUCAUCAAGAUCAAUCAAGCAGGAAGUAGGGUAUUACCUCCAUAGAGAGGGCCCGAACCUGGGUAAACAUUGUGUCCCUUGUCUCCUGUUACCAUCGACCUUAGACGCACAGUUCGGGACCCCCUACCCGAGAUCCGCCGGUUUUGACACCGACAAAGGGUAAAUGCAUUGGUUGAUUGUUUCAGUGUUAAUAACGGAUACAAUGGUGUCAGUUACAUGCAUAACAACUGACAUCGUAUUUUUGUUUCAUGGUAAUGCACGCCAUUCAACUGUAUGUUACAACGGGUCAAUGUCUCACGAGACAUCGGAUCCGUCUUCUGGGCUCAGGGCGAGUCACGGGCGCCGCAUGCCUCGUCCCCCUUGAAGGCGGAGGUAGAUUGACACGAACAAGGACGGAGGGGGUCAGGAGGGAGAGGGGGGCGGCUGGUGGGGGACUCCUCCUUGGCGGUCUGUGGGGAAGUAGGGUGUGAAGGAGAGAGGGUGCCAUUGCAAAGGUGAGGUGGGCGUCGUCCGAUUUUAAAGAAAAGGGAUACAACAAGAAAUGUUCAACUACAAUGAAAUACUAAGCGAGGAAGGGAAGGUCUAACCGAAGAGGAAGGGUGUGUUAUGGGGUGUGGUUUUUAUGUUGGGGUCGUAUGUUGGACAUAAUAUGACAGAUAGUCUGGACAGCCAUAUUUUUCCUCCACAUAUGAGCUGGAUUUGGGAGAGUUCGGAUCAUUUAGACAGUUGGAUUUUGGGAGCCAACCGGGACCCAUUUGAUGUCCGAACACGUCCAGACAUAUGAGGGAGAAAUGGCUUUCGACCUUAGAGAUGAUCUUAAUCAUUUGUUCGAUUAUAUGCAUUGCAGCCCGUGGGAACACACGGGCAUUCUACUAGUCUAGGUAGAAAUAAUCUUGCUCAAUAAUGGGAAGAUAUUCAUAAGCAAUACCUACACCAGUUUUCUUGUGGAAACAGAAUUGAGAACAAUGAGGUGUUGAAACAUAGAGCAAGUAUUGUAGCACAAGGGUUCACGCAGAUACCCAACUAUUCCCGAGAGGUGGAAUUUCUUUCCGAUAACUUAUAUCAUUGGCAGGACAAAAUCAUCUAUUUAUGCAGUUGAUAGAUGUAGUGAUUACAUAUUCAUGUGGAUCACUAGAUUCAUACAUAGAUGGUUCCCGUUGGAAUCUCACUUCUAAAUCGAAAUGCCAAAUGCAACAUACAUUGUGUAAAUUAGUAAGUCACUAUACGGCUUAUUAUUGUAGGUGUAUUUUGGUACAACUAAUGUAAUGAGUUCCUUAUUCACAAGGAUUACUCCUACACUGAUGAUUACCCAUACAUGUUAAGCGUGUGAUCAUCUAAAUGAUGGAAUUUGAGAUGAAGGAUUUGGGUAAAACAUCGAGCACCUUCACUCAUACAUAAUGGUACACAUGUUGUCUAUAUAUUGAUUAUAUUGGAGAAAUUGAUUGUGGACAAAUCUUAUGCAUCCAUAACUCGCAUGGCUUCAUUCUCUAGACGUAGAGAAAGAUCCAUUAAAACUAUGAGUUGAUGGCAAUGCAAUAUUGGGACAUAGAGUUCCAUAUCCUAGUGCCAUUGGACACACCACACAUAAUUGGUUGGGGCUCAAGAAUAUCUUUCAAUAACUCCAAGGCAUCAAACAUUUUGACCUAAUCUUUCAGUUUCAGAGAAAUCUGGACACCAAUAUCAUUGAAUAGGUCAACCAGAUCCCUACUAUGUCAGAUCGUAGACAAAGUUUUUGUUCCUGCUUGUGAUAGCCUCAUGGCUACAUCCACCAACCAUUAUCUCAAAGAUAAUAUUGCUUGUGUUGCCCAGAUGAAAACAGAUUACAUAAUAAGCAAUAUCGCUAUAUUGCAUAUCUUGCAAGUCAAAUCAUGUGACUGAUUUGUUCACCAAGUCUCUACCAACUUCUACAUGCCAGGGGGGUAUCUUCCUGAAUUGUUCCUGUUCAAAGCAUCAUAUUAUACUUUUUUCUCUUCAUGAGUUUACUUUACAGGUUCUCAUGAAGGUUUUUAAUGAGAGGAUAUCAACAUGAGAUCAUGUGUCAUACUUUCUGUUUUCCCCACCAGGGUUUUUAGGAAAGUAUAUACAACAUGUUUAUUGUGCUCUAAACUCUACGGGGUUUCUCAUAUUAAGUUAAAAGGGACAAUAAGCAUUAUAUGUUGCAUCAUUUUCUCCUUAUUUUUCCACUGGGUUUGCAGGAGUUUUAGCAACAUAUCAAACACAUAUUACCUCGUACUUUUCCCAUAGGGUUUUUGGAGGAGCUUUUCAAGAUGAUGAUACUUACACAAAAAAGCAUGGAUUAGGGGGUUGUUAGGAAUUAAUUAAUUAUUUUAAUCCUUGCUUUGCUUAAUUACCAAGCCGGAUACUAUUUGGCAUGUCAGUUGCUCAGGCCCCUUUGUACAGGAACCCCUUGGAGGCACCCUUUGUAAUCCUAUAUAAGACAUCAUCAUCAAGAAAGACUACAUACAGUUUUCAUUACCAUUCAUUGUCUCUCAUUUUCACUUACUAAUAAUUCUGAUUCACAAAAUUAACGGUAUCUGUCAGACCGCUUCCACAUCAAUUGGCGGCAUAUGGUUCUGAGCUCCUGCACAUUACACUCCUAGGUGGUGACAUCAAUGAAAUCGCUCACCAAUAGACGGGUCAAAAGUAAAGUUAAAAGGUUCCAUAUCUCUAAUCCCCAUUCCUCCUUUGUAUUGUGGCAUGGUCCGUCUCCCAUGAAACCCAUGCCGUCUUCCUCUGACCACCUUUGCUACUGUAAGAAUUCGAGAGAAAACUUGUGUUUAUUGAUUGUGGGCAAAGCCCUAUUUAUACAAGGAUUUGGGGCGCCUCCAGAGAGGCGUCCAUUUACAAUAGGCUCAUGUUGACGCGAGAAGACGCCCCUACGGACGUUCGCGUCUGUAUGGCGCUUUGGACACAUGUGACGAAUCCUAACAACGAUUAGCGCUAAUGACGUCGGUUUAUUCUUAACACUCCACCUUGUACAAAGUUGCUUCUUCUGUGUCUGGCAUCCUUGUAUAACUUUGAGAAUAUUGCUCUUAAUCACAAGCGUAUAUGAUCUUGAAUAACUCCUCCAAAAACCCUGUGGGAAAAAUAUGAGGAGAAUAGAACUUGAUAUGUUGUUAAAACUCCAUUAAAACCCAGUAGGAAAAUAAGGAGAAAAUGAUACAACAUAUGUUAUUGUCUCUUUGAUAACUUAUAUGAGAAAAACCUUGAGUAUAAAACUCAUUGGUAAGUUUAGAGGAUAAUUAAUAUGUCUUGUAUACACCCAUUAAAAAACCCUGUGGGGAAAAGUAGGAUGUAUGACAUAUAUUCUUAUGUUGAUAUUACCUCAUUAAAAACCUUGAUGAGAACCAUGAGAGUAAACUCAUAAAGGGAAAAGGAGUGCAAUAUAAUGUUUGAACAGGUUAUGAUUUAGAGAGACUCUCCCCCUAAUCUUUGCAAAUCUCGAAGUCAUCGCAUACCAAUCCCAUGAACAUAUUUUCCAAAUGUUGAAGCUGGGAGUAUCGCAUGAUUUGACUUGCAAAAUGUUUAUCUUCCCUUUCUUUUGUAACUAAUGGGGGGUAAUUUAGGAGAAAUAUGCUUAGUGAUAUUGCUCUUUAUGUAACCUAUUUGCAUUUGAGCAACACAAGCUGCAUUAUCUUCGUAGAUAAUGGUUGGAGACUCGAUAGAACCUUUACCACAUGAUUUUUGUAUGUGGUUUAUCAUUCUACGAAGCCACACACAUUCAGUGUUGCCUCAUAUAAUGCGAUUAUUUCAGAAUGAUGGUGGAUGUAGCCACAAGAGUCUGCUUGGAAGAUUUCCAUGAUAUGGAUGUCCCACCAUGUAGGAACAAAAAACCAGUUUGUGAUCUGGCAUUGUGGGGGUCAGAUAAGUAGCCAGCAUCAGCAUACCCAAUCAUAUCAAUGUCUGAAUUUCUCUGAAAUUGAAAGAAUAGGCCAAGAUCCUUUGUGCCUUGGAGAUAUCGAAAGAUAUUGUUAACUCCCGUCCAAUGGCGUUUGGUAGGACUUGCGCUAUGUCUAGCUAGUAAAUUCACUACAAAUGCAAUAUCAGGCCUAGUGCAAUUUGCAAGAUACAUUAGCGCUCCAACGGCACUAAGAUAUGGAACUUCAGGUCCUAAUAUCUCUUCUCCAUUAUCCAUUGGUCUAAAUUGAUCUUUCUCUAUGUCUAGAGAUCGAACUACCAUAGGAGAUUUGGAUGGAUAGGAUUUGUCCAUAUUGAAUUUCUUCAAUAUUUUCUGGAUAUAGGCGGUUUGAUGAACCAAAAUACCCAAGGGAAGGUGCUCAAGUUGCAAUCCUAAGGAAAAUUUGGUUUUACCCAAAUACUUCAUCUCAAAUUCCGUCUUUAGGUGAUUGCGUGCUUCAUCAAUAUCUUGUGUGGUUCCAAUGAUGUUUAGAUCAUCAACAUACACAGACAUAAUGCAAAGUCCAAUUGCGGACUUUUUAUGAAAACACAUGGGCAUACAUCAUUAUUGGAGUAUCCUUUUUUUCAAAAAGAACUCACUAAGUCGGUUGUACCACAUGCGACCCGACUGUUUUAAGCUGUAUAAAGACUUAUUUAGUUUUACAUAAUAUGUGUUGCAUUUUGCGUUUGGAUUCAGGAUUGGGACUCCAUCAGGAUCCUUCGUGUAUAUGUCCGAAUCAAGUGAACCAUAAAGGUAAGCGAUCAGUACAUCCAUCAACUAUAUAGAUAGACGAUUUUGAACUACCAUAGAAAUGAGGUAUCGAAAAGUAAUGCCACUCAUUACUGGAGAAUAUGUUUCAUUGAAAUCAAUGUCUGGUCUCUGCAUGAAACCUUGGGCUACAAGCCUUGCUUUAUAUCUCACCACCUCGUUGUUCUUGUUUCUUUUAUGAACAAAAACCCAUUUGAAUCCCACGGGGAAAACUCUGGGAGGUGUAGGUAUUGCUUCAGUGAGAACCUUUCAUUUAUUGAGCGAGGCUAACCCUACUUAGAUUGCAUCCUUCCAUUUAGGCCAGUCGGAGCGUUUCUUGCACUCUGCCAUGGUCUUUGGAUCAUGAUCAUUUAGAAGGUUGUUUGCAACUGUAGUUGAGAAAUAUAUGUCGACAAUUGUAGACUUAGGAUUGUAAGAUUCUCUAGAAUCUAUAUAGUUUGUGGAAAUUUCAUUUACCCUUGUUGACUGGUCGUGAUUUCCCAAUACGAUUGAGUUAGGGUUUUCCGAUGUCCCGGUCAUUGAGUGCACAACUGAGCUGGGUUGUGGAGGUUGUCCUCCCACUAGGUGUAUAUUACCCAUUUGAUGAUUAUCAACACUAGGUUGGUUUACAUUUACUGGUUAAGAGGGUCUCUUUCUCUGUUUCCUUUGUUGCUUUUGAGGAGCUGAAUCCUUUCCCGUGGCCGUACUUCUCCCCCUCUUCCUUUGAACAGGGGGUUGAGUAGUUUUUGUUGGUACCUCCACUCUUUCGAGCACGUUUUUAGCAGGAUUGUAGGAUUUGGUAACACUUUUAUAGUCAGUAAAUGAAUCUGGCAGGUUAUUUGCAAUGUGUUGCAAAUUAAUUAUUUUCCAAACUUGAAGUUCAGUUUCUUGAGUACAUGGAUCAGAGGAGGAAAUGCCUUGGGCAUUCCAAUCGAUUUCCAGGCAUUCUUUUUGGUACUUGAUUUCUCCGCCUAAUGCCGGGAAAUGGUCCUCAUUGAAGAUGCAGUCAGCGUGAUGGGUUGUGAACAGAUCCCCCGUGAGGGGUUCAAGGUACUUGAUUAUCGACGGUGAUUUGUACCCCACAUGGAUCCCCAAUUUUCUGUGUGGUCCCAUGGAUGUACGCUGCGGUGGUGAGAUUGGCAUAUAUGUGGCGCAUCCGAAUUUACGCAGAUGGGAAAUAUUUGGUAGGUUUCCACGUACUAAUUGCAGAGGGGAAGUGUUGUGAUAUGCAGUUGGUCGCAAUUGGAUUAAGUCAGCGGCGUGUAAAACCGCGUGACCCCAACAAGAAGUUGGUAAAUUGCAAUUCAUUAGUAAGGUUCGUGCAAUGAGCUUAAUUCUCUUAAUUAGAGAUUCGGCCAAUCCAUUUUGGGUAUGGACAUAUGGGACUGAGUGCUGAACUUCAAUGCCUAACGCCAUGCAAUAAUCAUUGAAAGCAUGUGAAGAGAAUUCAGCAGCGUUGUCCAUUUGAAUUGAUUUAAUUCGAUUCUCAGGAUAAUGAGCUUGCAAUUUGAUAACUUGUCUCACUAUUUUGGAAAAUGCAUGGUUUCGUGUAGAUGCAUCUAUUAGAACCAUGAAAUACCUAAAAGGUCCAAACAAUGAUUGGAUCAGACCACAAAUAUCGCCUUGAAUUCGUUCAAGGAAUUGUAGUGGUUCUGCUUGAAUUUUAAGAUAUGAGGGUCUUAAAAUUAGUUUCCGGGUAGCGCAUGCAGUGCACAUAAAAUCCGAAGAUUGUGGAAAUUUAGAUUCAUUUAAGUCAUGACCAUUGGAAUUGCAGAUAAUUUUCCUCAUCAUCCCACCGAGAUGACCAAGGCGAUCAUGCCAAGUUUGGAAUGCAUUUACAUUCUGAAAAAUUACCUUAAAUGCAACGUGUUCUACAGGUUUUAUGUAUGUGUAGUACAAUCCUGAUGAUAAAGAGAGAAUUUUCUCAAAUAUUUGUUUGCCAUAUCCUUUGUCUUUGGUAAAGAGGAGAUAUUGCUCUUUGUUAUCUUCAUAAGUUUCAAUGUGGAAACCGUUUUUGCGGAUAUCUUUAUAACCUAUGAGGGUACGAGUUGAAUCGGGAUAUAAUAAAGCAUCCUCAAUUACAAUUUGUGUACCAACAGGGAGGGUAAAUAUGGCACAUCCUAUGCCAGCGAUUACCGCAUCGCGUCCAUCGAUUGUUAAAAUAUCUCCAUUCAAUUUUGUAAGAGUUUGGAAAUACUUUAUUUCCCUAAGUAUACAGUUUGUGGUGCCACUGUCCACAAGGCACAUUUCCUCCACCAUUGGAUUGACUCCCGUAAAAAUCUAUAUAUUAAAAUGUGGAAUUUUCAGUUUAACGAAAAACACUUUAUUACAACAAUCUGAUGGAUGUAAACCAAUGCAAUAUCUAAAUGGAGUCAAUUGACUAGUCAAAGUCCUCGAACAUGUCGGCGGCGUAUUCGGUCAUCAUAUUCUCUGUGUCUAUGGAGUCCUGCGAUAGAUGGAAUUCCUUGUUGUUACUUGGUGCUCCUUGAACAUCUUGAGAACAACCAGCUUCCUUGUUGUUAUCAGGUUGAAGAUUGAAGUGAGCUUCAUAUCUUGCUCCUUGGGCAGAUCUGUUACGUUCCAUGGAUUGCAGGUAGAGGUUUACCAGAUGUCUUGGGGUGCGGCAUUUCUUGGUGACAUGCUUGUAGCAUCCACAUUUCUGGCAAAGUUUAGUUUUAUCAAACUUAUUCUUUGUUAUGCCCUUCCCCUUGUCUGAAUUUUGUGGCUUGUUCUUCUUGUUGUGGUUGCUCUUACCCUUAACGUUCUUGUUUUGGCCUUUGAAAGAACCAUUGAACUUGGUGUUUUUCUAAAAAUUUGCAUGUACUUCAGGCAGAGGAGCGGCCCCAACUGGGCGUGGUUGCUGCCUCGACGGGAGCCCAGUCCAUUGGCGAAGCGACGAAGGCCGGCAUCGGAGGUGCCUGGUAGGCUUGGUGGACGGCCGCGGGCGGGUUGCUUGGUCCUGCUUGAUCUGCUGCGGCAAGGCCAAGGUAAUCCUGAUCACCACGACGACCACGGCGGCCGUUGCCUGGGCCCCAAGGGUGAUAAAUUCUAGCCCUGUGUCAUCUGGCAAAUCGACGGAUUUCCCGUCACUUCUCUCUCGUCCUGUUCGUGCUCUGUUGGUAGAGGCAUGGCUGAUAAUGUGUAAGAAUUCAAGAGAAAAUUUGUAUUUAUUAAUUGUGGGCAACGCCCUAUUUAUACAAGGAUUUGGGGCGCCUCCGGAGAAGCAUCCGUUUACAAUAGCCCCUGUUGGCGUGAAAAAACGCCCGUACGGACAUGACAGAAUCCUAACAACAAUUAGCGCUAAUGACACCGGUUUAUUCUUAACAGCUACCGCACCAAAAUUUGCGAAUCAGUGAUGCUACUUGGACAAAUAGGAACUCCUAUUGUGUCACUAGUUUUUUGUGUGAAGGGACUGUUCGCUCAGCAUCCCAUUUGUGUUUUAGCCUGUCACCAUGAUAUAAGUUGGAACUAACAACUGCCCCGCUCAGCGUCCCCUUUGUGUUUUAGCCAUGAUUAACAAGUCACGAGUCGUAUCCUCUUUUACUGCUGUAAUUCAGGGCACUGUAGACAUGAAAGCGACUAGGAUACUCUUUGCUGUGACCGUCAGACCAUACGGUUUUGCUUAUGUGGUUUGACCUUUGGCAGGUAUUGAAUGAUUAACAGAUGCAACCACAAGAAGAGGCAUAAGAGACGAGAUGAGUAACAGAUUAUGAGAAAAUUGCACUCGUCUUAUUGCUGCAUUCUACCAGUCUAUUCCGCACAUCUAUAAAAGACUUCAAAAGAUCUUCCAGCUAAAUACAAUGUAAACAAGAUGACAUUUUAACAGGGCAACGGUCAAAGCUGACCAUAAAGAAAAACAAUAUUAUGAACAUCAAAUAGUUGGUGUCUGUUUAAACUCCCACUCACUGCACAUUCUUUGCAGUAACUUGUUUGCAAUGCAAUGAUUCUGGUAGAUCUCGGCCAUUUCCCAACAAAUAUCGAGAACCUCCUGGUAGUGCCUAAGGCUGAUGCUUCAUGUUGCCAACUAGUGGGAUCUAGCAGACUGUGGAACAAGCACGCACACAUUCCCACUUGCCUAUUGCAACUCCCGUACUAUCUGUACAAAUACCCAGCAGCGAAUGCACAAGUGCGGGAAUGACUGAUUAACCAAAUCCAAACCCUUCAUUUGCCUCAUGAAUAGCCAAUAGCAACCUCUCCUGCAGCUGGUCUUUGGAUGUGUAUUCAGGCAAGUCCAGUUGGUUAAAGCUGCAGCAAGCAGAAGCAGAAUAGCAAAUCAGUAUAUACCUAAAUGAAACAAUUAUGGUUGCUGACAAGUCAAAAGCAUAACGGACUAGUGAAGAUUGGUUACCAAGUAUGAGCUGAGGGCAGAUGGUUGGUGCUGCCGUAUGCCUUGUGUAUCUGGAACCUUUGUGGCCCAGAUAUUCCUUGGAGCGCACUGAAACCCUCCAAAGGUACCUGCGGUUCAGUUCAAAGCGGGAUCAGGAGUUAACAGGUACCCUAGAACAAAUUUUCAUAAACAAUAAUAGCUUCACAAUUUAAAAGGUCGUGCUUUCACCAAAUACCUUUGAAGUGCCAGUAACGAACUGGAGAAAUCGAGCUUUGUCCUCCUUGCUGAAACCUUGUACAAUUUCCCAGAACCAUUGAAUAACUGGUGAAGCUAUGCUGUAGCCAGAAUACUCGGUAUUUGCCUUUAGGUCGUCCACUGAAAGCAGAUGUACAAAAUAAGUAGAGCACAUGCAAGAUCUAAACGGAUCAUUAUAGAACUGAAUUAACUCUUUCAACUCACAGUCAAUAUCAGGGAGUCCACUGAUUAGCAGUUCAAACUCUUUGUCGUUAAAAAUGGAUAUUAGCUCGCGAGGAAUGAGCUCAUUAAAUCCUUCCAUGAAAGCAUUAAUCUGAGGCCUAAUUGCAGUGGUUAAACGAUGCUCUGCUACCCUAUCCACAUAUUCAUGCUUGUUCUCCUCGGUGACCCUAAUGUUACGCCCUCCAGGAAUCAACUCACAAUCAGUUACCUGCAUAGAGUUGGUACUUACAGUCACCACAUUAACCAAAGAGAGAAAGGAGCAAAACAGAGAGAAAGGGGGGGAGAGGGCGUACCUCAGCUUUCUCAUAUAAUAU
RNAcentral lists this long non-coding RNA (23768 nucleotides) under Triticum aestivum (bread wheat). RNAcentral's name for it is "long non-coding RNA (TAES_LNC005452)". The record is from RNAcentral. Lineage: Eukaryota; Viridiplantae; Streptophyta; Magnoliopsida; Poales; Poaceae.